UCAUUGAAGAAAAACACGAGAACCAAUAAAGGAAUUCAUCCUUUGUUUUCAUCAAAAUCAAAAAAGCACAAUGUGUUAACAUCGUCGUAGACAUCUAUCCAUGUGUGUAUAUCACAGGCCCCUUGGUUGUAUCUGCCACAAAGGAGGCCAAGUCAGAAAACGUUUUUAAAAUGUUGAGUGUAGAUGGGUUCAGGGGUCCAGAUGACAAAUGUAUAAGUAGAAGGGUUCACAAUACAAACUUACACAAGUACAAGGGUUCACUAGACCCUUUUGCCAAAAUAAUAUAACUCCAUGUUUACCCUUUUUU
Solanum pennellii is the source of this 307-nucleotide long non-coding RNA. RefSeq lists it as uncharacterized. NCBI's taxonomy places the organism in Eukaryota, Viridiplantae, Streptophyta, Magnoliopsida, Solanales, Solanaceae. The record is from RefSeq and is a predicted model, not a curated record. The transcript is spliced from 2 exons.